UCAGCUCAGAACUGGUACGGAC
This 22-nucleotide small nuclear RNA is filed under the name Arabidopsis thaliana (thale cress). RNAcentral describes it as "snRNA_12846". The record is from RNAcentral. Lineage: Eukaryota; Viridiplantae; Streptophyta; Magnoliopsida; Brassicales; Brassicaceae.